Molecule: long non-coding RNA, 1680 nt
Filed under: Equus caballus (horse)
Lineage: Eukaryota; Metazoa; Chordata; Mammalia; Perissodactyla; Equidae
Description: lncRNA (ENSECAG00000046308.1)
Source: RNAcentral
CAACAAUUUGGUGCUUACAUAUUAGUUUUAAGAUAUUUAAAAUCAAGUAACGUGACAUGCCCUCAAAUGCAUUUCUACAGAGUCAUAAUUGAAAACACUUUAAAUAGCACAUAUGGAAAUAGUGAGGCAGAGAGAUAGAAGGAAAACAAUGCACAAUGAAAACCAGAGCUCCAAAUCUAAACUCUUUUAUUCUAACUCCUAGAUGAGGCAUGUUGGUGAUAGUUAUUUUGUUUAACAAGCAAUUAUUAAGCACCAUAUAUUUGUGUGUGGAUGGAUGGAUGGAUAGAUAGAUGAUAGAUAGAUAAUUUGGCAUUGUUUUAAGAGGUAUGAUAUAGAAAAUAGUAGCCCUUUGAAAUUUAUAAUCUACACAAGCAAAUCUCAGAGAGUUAUAACAAACAUAAGCACAUAAGAAGUAACAGAGCCUAUAAGAAAGGGCUAAGGGGAUACAAAGUCAGAAGUGGUCACUGCCAAAAGCACCAAGCAGGCAAACUCGUUGAAAGGCACCAAUCUUGAACUGCCUUAAACAAAAACAUGUCAGGUACUAGGAGAAAGAAGGAGGAUUUCCAUUUCGAGGAAACAAGGACAAGAGGCAGGGAGAGGUUAGGCAGGAAAAGAAGCCAAGGGCCAAUUUCAGAAGUAGCAAGAGGUAGAUUGAGAUCGUCAAGUCAGGGGACCAAAUAUAGUCUGGGUCAAAUUGAAAGCAUUGGGAAACUUUUUAAACAGUUUAGAAAAUGCUUUAAAAUUAAAACUUGCUUUUUAUUUGCAAAUACUACAAUCAUAGCUCUCAAUAAUGUGAAGCAAACAUAGUGCUAAGGAUGUAUAUUAACUCAUGUGAUGCUCACACUAACCCUGUGAAGUAUGAACGCUGUUACAGAUGAGGCCCUCACGGCCAGAGAGAGGAAGUGAACACAGAAGUCAGUGCAGAUCUCUUUGUCUCUAAGGUGAAUGCUCUCAGCCACUCUGUCAUAAUAUCUCCUGUUCAAAGGGGACUUGGCAGUAUAUGACAAAAACAGAGUGGAAAUGGCAGGCCCUAUAAGGAAAAAAAAUGAUUGUCAACAAUAGUUCCUAGGCCUGCUAUUUGGGUUCACAUGCUGGGAAAGGGGUUUCAUGAUGAGCAUCCAUUUUGAGAACUCAUGCUAGAUACAGAUGAGAAUGUAGGGCUGAAAUUAUAACCAAGUAAUAAAUGAAAAAAUUAGUAAACCUCUUAUCACAAAAUUAGACACUUGUCAGAACCACAGAGUUUUCAUUUACCCAAAUUUUUUAAAAGGCGGGAAGAAAUGGAUGUGUGAAAUUGCGCGUUUCAAGGCAUCAGUUCCCUCUCUUUCCCUGCCACUGAUGGGGUGCACUCAUUUGUAUCUUUUGUCUUUAUUUUCUGACACAUAGGAAAAGGAAGAUUUGAUAAAGCAUAUAAAAUGCAACUGAUCAGUCAAGACUGCAGACAAAUAUUUCAGUUCCAGAAUGUUUAUGGCAUAUGUUUUGAAGUUUCUAAAUUACCAUAUGUUUUUAUUGUAAACAGGGACUGCUUCAUUUGUUGAAUAGCAAUGAUACAUUGUGUUGACUGUUUCUGACAUGAUAUUGAAUUCAAAACUUCAGGGGGAAAAGUAACCUCUAAAUAUUCCUAACCCUGACUUCCCUGUUUUAGAGACAGAAGCUGUUUGCAUUUUACCAUCUACUAUUACU